AUCUCACCCAUGCGGCUUAAUCGGCACAAAAUGCAUUUGGCACCUUGUGGGGAAGGAAGCUGCUCUCUGCCAUCCAGCCCGGGCUGGGCUGUGGCUGCCAAGACAAACAGGGCUGUGGAUGAGGACACCCUGGGUUUCUGUCAGCAUCCAGAGUUUAGUAUCAGAAAGAAAUGGAAUUUUUGCUUGUUGGUUGUCUCCCACCUGCAGAAUGUGUAUUGAUGUCACUUGAAAAUCUGGUUGUCAACAUCAUAAAAACAGUGCUAGGAAAAGCCACAAAAUAUUGCACAAGACCCAGAAGGACUGAAAGUUGGAGGAUUUCUUUCAGGGGAUAUAUUGUUUUCACUGGGGAAGACUGCUCCAAAGCUCCACCAGGAUCCCUGUGGGCUGGGACAAGGUGGGUUUCCUACCUGAGCUGGGAAGCUGCAGCCCACAGGAUGGACAUUCCUGCCUCCUCCAGGACAGGAUCCAGGAGAAGCUCUGGGAAUGUGCACAGGUUGAUCAGGCAGACCAUCACUUCCUGCAGCCCAGGUUAUAAGGACAAGUUCACCUUGCAUCAUCCUGCUCCAUUUCCUCAGCUGGCAUUUAACUUCCAGUUGGAUGCAUCACGGCAUUUUACUCCUGUCCAUGGGUGA
This 632-nucleotide long non-coding RNA is filed under the name Serinus canaria (Common canary). Its description in RNAcentral is "lncRNA (ENSSCAG00000015397.1)". Lineage: Eukaryota; Metazoa; Chordata; Aves; Passeriformes; Fringillidae. The record is from RNAcentral.